This 3248-nucleotide long non-coding RNA is filed under the name Homo sapiens (human). RNAcentral's name for it is "HSALNT0154987". Lineage: Eukaryota; Metazoa; Chordata; Mammalia; Primates; Hominidae. The record is from RNAcentral.
AAACAUGCUUCUGAGGAGACAUAACACCUCAAAAGAAUGUUUACCAAAUAAUGUUCUGCAAAAUACAACUGCUCCACAGAUGUUAACAGCUGCUCCUGGGGUUGGGGGACAGGAAACCCUGGAUUAAACAAAGCAAAACUGACUUCUUCAUUGCAGGACCUCUCAGGGCCUUUCAUCUCCUGGGUCACAAAUGAUUUCCCAAGAAUGAGGAAGCAAAAUUUGAGGAUGUAAAAUGUAUUUGAGCACACAAUCACCCCACUGGAGUAAAACAUCAAGUCUCACCUCCAAGAACCUCUGACACUGAGUUUGAGAAACUCUGGACAGACUGCUCCCCAGUCCUGUUUGGACUAUGGAAUUCUCUCAUCGCAAACGCCCAUUAACAUCUUUAAGAAUGUGUUCCAUGGAACCCAGUUCGGGAAAACACUCCUAUGGGUGCUCUGAACAAUAAGCAGCAGAGGUACGAAAGACAACAAGGCCUUUCAAGUGCACCCCUGGCUUGUACAGACUCUAAGACUAAGUUCUCUGCCAGCUCCAUUUUUCCUUAAUUCUGAAACUCUCUGGAAUAGGUUUUCACUAUCCUCAUAAACAACCAUCAAAUUCGUGGACUUUAUGAUCCUAGGGCAACUGAGCAAGACCACCUCAGGCAGGCUGGAUGGGCUCCGGGCAGAACAUCUGGCCCUGGCACUACCACUUCCCUACGUCACAUCCAGUCCACAGAAGGUGGUGACACCAGGGCAGUGUGGCCUGCAGCACAAUAGGCAACUCCCUUGGCAGAUGCUGCCCUGGACACACCUCGCAGAUGGAUGCACUGAUGGCCAAGAGACUAGAACCACCAGAGGUUCUUCGUGCAAGGGGAGCAUUCACUCACCUACAGCCAAUCAUCACAAGGGAGCGGACUGGCAGCUCAGAGCAGAGAGAAGCUAAGCACACCCUGCCACCCUGGAAGGAGUCACCAAGCCGACUGGGGGAGCUGGAUGCUUUUCCCUCUUGCCUUUUUGGUCUCUUAUGAUCUCCUCCAGUUUUGUUCUGUGGCCUUCUAAAAUAGCCAUUAAUUAGAGCCUGGUAAUUAACUUACUGGUUCAAGUAAUAUUUUGCAAAGGAAUUCCAUUAAAGAGUCGAUUUGCAUAUUCUAAUAUGGGGCCUGGAAAUAGGCAGGGCUACCUGGAGGAGAAUGAAAGCAGUCCCAUGGCACCUGUCAGGCCUGGCACCUGGGCCUGGGCUCUGCCUGGUAACCGAAGGUGAGAGGGGAGGCAAAGAGUUGCUCUCUGGGAAGUUCUCCCCAAGAAGGUGGGGAGCUUAUUCACACACCGGCCAGCUCAGUGUCCAUGCACCCAGACAGAAAGUGCACACAUGCACACAAGUAUGCACGUGAGUGCUCACAGAACACACUAUACACAUGGGCACAACAGGGUAUACGUACACAGACAUGUACAAACAACUGGCAGAUGCAUACCCAAGAAGAAAACACACGAUAAUAACAAUAGUAGCCAACACUUAACCUGAACACAUAGAUUGAAUCAUAUGCAAUUGCCUGUAUUUGGCCUCCCAAAACAGCAACUUUAUACAGUCUCACCCCAUAUGAUGUACCAGGCACUGUUCCAAAUACUUCACCUGUAUUAACUCAAUUAAAUGCACAGACAUGUAUAAGGACAUUAACAUAUAAUGUACACACAUCUUCAUGAGGACAGGUGCACACUUGCAACACAUACAAAAGACGUACACAGACAAACAUAUGCUUGUGCAAAGAAAGGCUUCUCCAGCCUUUGAAACCCCAGCCUUGCUGAUCCCAUUCUCACUAGCUAAUUUCCACCGUUCCUAAAAACAUUGCCCAGCUCAGAUCUUGGGAAGGUACACAAGGGAGCUCCAGAUCUAAAGGAGAGUAAUAAAAAUGAGAAAGCAAAAAAUAAAUUGAUUCUUCUAUACGUCCAGGUCGUAUUCUGUGGCUCUCCCCUUCCUCUCUAGAGAUGAGACUCAGAAUCAUGUGCUCCUGGGCCGGUCAGCCCUGCCCCCAAAGGUGCCCAUGGGGCUCAAGUACAAUGCUGCAGUUGAGAGGGGAUCUGGUUCCAAUGCCUGGCUUCUGCAUAGGCCCCAGCUCCAUGCCUUUGACUGUGUGCCUCAGUUUUCCUGGCCAUAGAGCAGCCCUUUCACUGCCUACCUACCCUACAGGGCAGAAGACCUCUUAAAGUGCUGUGUAAAUACAGGGCAUCCUUAUGAAUGAUAGGAUUAGGAAUUAAACCUGAUUUCCUUAUGGAGAGGAGAGGACGGGAGGAAGGUGGAAAGAAGAAGGGAGGGGGAGGAGGAGAGGACAGCCAGGUGAGCCUUCCUUACAGGUAAUUAAUGAAUUCCUUGUCAUACCUCUUGGAAGGCAGAGGCUCAUUUAACGUGUAGGAUCCACCUACAUGGGACCUCUCAGAGCUGAGGAAGACCAAACAGGGCAACCAAGAAUCCUGCAAGAGGCUUGUCAGAACACUCAGGCAAAGGACAGGAAUAGACAAGUCUCAAAAGAAGCACUGCCACUGGCCAUGAAACUCAGGAAAGCACUAUUCGAUCACCAACAAGCAAAUGAAUGCAAAUAACAAAAAAAUGCCCUUUUUCUGCCUAUCCAAACGAUAAAGACUGCUUUAAUGAUGACAUCCAAUGUUUUGAAGGGUGUGAGGAAACAGGUAAGCACUCUCAAAAAUCACUGGGGAGGGGUAUGAAUUAUUACAGGAUUUUGGUGGGUGACAUUUUUCUAAGAAAAAUCUCAAACUCUUCAUAUUUUUAGACCUAGUAAUUCUGUUUCUAAGACUUUAUCCUUUGGGAAAAAUCAGAAAUGUAGGCAAAGAUAAAUAUUCAAGGAUUUAAAUCCCAGUGUCAUUUUUAAUAAAGAAAACCUAGACAUAACCUAAAUGCCUAAAUGAUUAAAAACAAGUAUGACCCAAACGGAAGAUGGAACAAUGAACUUUUAAAACUGAUUAUUAAAACACACAUGAGAGCUUUGCUUUCCCAGGUGUAAGCAGGAAUCCCUAGGAAAACAUCCUGUGCUCUAGGUAAUAAUGGCUGUUUCUUAAGUUUAAGGCAAUAAUGACCCAUCUUAAGCUCGAAUCACCUUACCAGGCACAGCAACAUCUAUUAUCUCUUGAACCUCAGGAUGAGGCCACAUGAUUGCUUAUUAUUCCCACACUGUGGAUGAGAAAACUGAGGCUUACCAAGACGAGGUGACUUAACCCUACCAAUAUUAACUGAAAACCUAUGACAUAUUAAUCUAA